GCUUCAUGAUGAUGUAAAGGCAAAUGUGACCCCCACCGGCGGCCUGCUCCAGCAACCUGUUUCCUUUAUACGGGUCUGUAAUCUUGGUGGGCAAUGCAGAGCAAUGCAUGUUCGCUGUAAGGGCAGACCGACAUGACCUCCCGUUCCUUGCAGUCUCUGCCCCAUAGAGACUGUCUGCUUCUUAGCAAAGCCGGCCAUCUGGCAGACCAGGGAUUCGGGUACAGGGCAAGCCUAGGGAGCCCAGGUAACAGUUUGCUGUGCGCAGCCAGAAUUGAGGCUGGUGGGGCAUCAUGAGCACAAGUCUUUGGUAAUCUGAAAGCA
Molecule: small nucleolar RNA, 321 nt
Organism: Heteronotia binoei (common prickly gecko)
Lineage: Eukaryota; Metazoa; Chordata; Lepidosauria; Squamata; Gekkonidae
Source: RefSeq, a predicted model, not a curated record